GAUGAACGCUGGCGGCGUGCUUAACACAUGCAAGUCGAACGGAAAGGCUCCUGCUUGCAGGGGUACUCGAGUGGCGAACGGGUGAGUAACACGUGGGUGAUCUGCCCUGCACUUCGGGAUAAGCCUGGGAAACUGGGUCUAAUACCGGAUAGGACCACAUUUUGGAUGGUGUGGUGGAAAGUUUUUCGGUGUGGGAUGAGCUCGCGGCCUAUCAGCUUGUUGGUGGGGUAAUGGCCUACCAAGGCGUCGACGGGUAGCCGGCCUGAGAGGGUGUACGGCCACAUUGGGACUGAGAUACGGCCCAGACUCCUACGGGAGGCAGCAGUGGGGAAUAUUGCACAAUGGGCGCAAGCCUGAUGCAGCGACGCCGCGUGGGGGAUGACGGCCUUCGGGUUGUAAACUCCUUUCGCUGGGGACGAAGCGCAAGUGACGGUACCUGGAGAAGAAGCACCGGCUAACUACGUG
Molecule: ribosomal RNA, 465 nt
Filed under: uncultured bacterium
Lineage: Bacteria
Description: partial 16S ribosomal RNA
Rfam family: Bacterial small subunit ribosomal RNA
Source: RNAcentral